AUUGAACGCUGGCGGCAGGCCUAACACAUGCAAGUCGAGCGGAUGAAGGGAGCUUGCUCCUGGAUUCAGCGGCGGACGGGGGUGUAAUGCCUAGGAAUCUGCCUGGUAGUGGGGGAUAACGUCCGGAGACGGGCGCUAAUACCGCAUACGUCCUGAUGGAGAUAGUGGGGGAUCUUCGGACCUCUCGCUAUCAGAUGAGCCUAGGUCGGAUUAGCUAGUUGGUGGGGUAACGGCCUACCAAGGCGACGAUCCGUGACUGGUCUGAGAGGAUGAUCAGUCACACUGGAACUUAGACAGGGUCAAGACUCCUACGGGAGGCCGCAGUGGGGAAUAUUGGACAACGGUCGAAAAUCUGAUACAACCAGGCCACGUGUGUGAAAAAGAUCUCGCGAUUGUGAAGCACUUUAAGGUGGGAUAAAGGGCAGUAAGCUAUUACGAAGCUGUUUUGACGUUACCAACAGAAUAAGCACCGGCUAACUACGUG
Molecule: ribosomal RNA, 484 nt
Filed under: uncultured bacterium
Lineage: Bacteria
Description: partial 16S ribosomal RNA
Rfam family: Bacterial small subunit ribosomal RNA
Source: RNAcentral